UUUGUACAAUAUUAUCCUUUUGGCUAACAUAAUGUUUUGAAACAUACAAUUUCACAAUGCUUACCUUAUCUUUUAAUUUGCCUCACUAUUUCCCUAGACAUAAUUACAACUCAAUUCCAACUAUUGUCAGCUUAUCGCAACCCUCCUCCUUUAUCACAACUGAUAAAUCGAGCACCAGACAGAUUCUGGUAUCCGUAUUUUGUCGUGCUAGGAGAAGAGUUAUAUACGAUAACGAUAAUGAAGAAGAAGAUGAAGAUAAUAAUAAUAACAAUGUUGAAUUAGCAAUGUUAGAAUUUUAUAGUCAAUCUAUGAGAAAUGAAGCUCUUCUUGUGAAAGCUAUUGUGGAUGAGGAAGAAGUGGAAGUUCUAAUCUUUAAGGGUUUUUCAUCAUGCUUGAGUUAUAGAACAAGUUCAGAUCCAUCAAAAAGUGUGUUACCAGCAAGGGCAGUGAUCAAAUGUAUAGACAGAAUAAAAGGACCAUUUGACCCCUCUAAUAUUGUUUAUUUGGAGAAAGGAUUGAAUUUUGAGUCCUUCAAAGAUAGGAUUCUAUCAAAGGAAAAAUAGGGAUGGCAAUAGGACGGGGCGAGUUUGGAACAGACAGGGCGAGUUUAAGCUUAUGCGAAGCGAUUUGAAAUUGUAAUAGGGUUAAAAUUGAAUAGGACGAGACGAGUCUGGAACAGAAGGGGGGAGUUUAAGCUUAUGCGAGGCGAUCUGAAAUUGUAGUGCCCGCUCCGUCCUGUCCCGUUGAGAUCUCUGUAGACAAGUACAAAUUAAGGAAAAGAGAGAAGAAACGGAAAGGGAAAAAGAAGGAACCGGACAAACAAAGGAAGGGAGCAAAAAAGAAUCAGCCACACAGCUUUGGAAGGCCUUCCAAUUCGCGUUCAGAGUCUAUACUUUCGCUGGUGGACAAGACGAGAGAGCAGAAAAGUUGACAAAAGAAUUGGCUGAAGUAAUCGAGACAGACCUUCAUCUUCAGACGUAAUAGUAGGCUCCCCAUUUUUUUCCAUAGGCUGCAAUCGAUCAUGCAAUCAGCAUGUUGAUACUAUUCCUGGCUAGCGCCUUGUACGUGCAUGCUGCAUAAACUGCGAUGUUCAUGCUUAUACCAGGAGAGAAUUGCUAGAUGAAAAUGUUGUUAUUUGUAAAGACUGAGAGGAGAAAUUGAGCUAAAACUCUAGCUUUUACCUGUCACUGUUGAUACAUAAAAAAAAAGGACAGCCCGGUGCACUAAAGCUACCUCUAUGCACAGUGUCCGGGGAAGGACCCCAUCACAAUCACUGUUGAUACAUAAAAAAAGGGCAGUCUGGUGCACUAAAGCUACCUAUGCACAGUGUCCGGGGAAGGACCCCACCACAAUCACUGUUGAUACAUAACAAAUAUAUAUAACACCUUUGUGACUGGUUUUGUAGCAUGGGUA
This is an RNA transcript of Capsicum annuum, 1413 nucleotides long. RefSeq lists it as uncharacterized. NCBI's taxonomy places the organism in Eukaryota, Viridiplantae, Streptophyta, Magnoliopsida, Solanales, Solanaceae. The record is from RefSeq and is a predicted model, not a curated record. The transcript has 3 exons.